CUUUUAAUGAGAGUUUGAUCCUGGCUCAGGACGAACGCUGGCGGCGUGCCUAAUAC
RNAcentral lists this ribosomal RNA (56 nucleotides) under Streptococcus agalactiae GB00020. RNAcentral describes it as "partial 16S ribosomal RNA". The record is from RNAcentral. Lineage: Bacteria; Bacillati; Bacillota; Bacilli; Lactobacillales; Streptococcaceae.